This 301-nucleotide ribosomal RNA is filed under the name uncultured bacterium. RNAcentral describes it as "partial 16S ribosomal RNA". It matches the Rfam family "Bacterial small subunit ribosomal RNA", at positions 509 to 808 of the family's 1533-position model. The record is from RNAcentral.
CAGCAGCCGCGGGAAUACGUAGGUCCCGAGCGUUGUCCGGAUUUAUUGGGCGUAAAGCGAGCGCAGGCGGUUAGAUAAGUCUGAAGUUAAAGGCUGUGGCUUAACCAUAGUACGCUUUGGAAACUGUUUAACUUGAGUGCAAGAGGGGAGAGUGGAAUUCCAUGUGUAGCGGUGAAAUGCGUAGAUAUAUGGAGGAACACCGGUGGCGAAAGCGGCUCUCUGGCUUGUAACUGACGCUGAGGCUCGAAAGCGUGGGGAGCAAACAGGAUUAGAUACCCCUGUAGUCCCUGUCUCUUAUACA